RNAcentral lists this non-coding RNA (28 nucleotides) under Rattus norvegicus (Norway rat). The record is from RNAcentral. Lineage: Eukaryota; Metazoa; Chordata; Mammalia; Rodentia; Muridae.
UGGUCUAUCAUGGCUGAAAUGAAUGGGC